This 790-nucleotide long non-coding RNA is filed under the name Panthera leo (lion). Its description in RNAcentral is "lncRNA (ENSPLOG00000019771.1)". The record is from RNAcentral. Lineage: Eukaryota; Metazoa; Chordata; Mammalia; Carnivora; Felidae.
CGUGACCCGAGCUGCGGCCGUGCGCCCCCGGUGCCGGGCCGGCCGCGGGAGGGACGGCGGGCCCCAGGCCAGGCGCCGGGCGGGUCCGGACCUUGCUGAGCGCCCGCCGCCCUCCCUCGCGGGUUGAGACCCGUAGAAAGUGGCCUCCCGCCUCUGGCCACGCGUUGUUUUUGCUUUAAAAAGCGGGUCGGCUGCCCCUCAUUCCCUGGUCGGGUGUGGCCGAAAGGCGGCUUCCGAAGCGCGGUGGUGUGAAUGCCGCUGCUUAGCCGGGGGCCCGGUGGGAACAGGCAUUCCUAGACCUGGUCCGCGGGCUCCAUACGCGGCCAGCCAGUGACCUUAGUUUUCCACACUCGAGUUAGGCGGGGACCGGGGAGGGGGACGGUAAAUGGGUUUUGGGGGUUCCUGGCCACGCGUAGGCCUGGUGGCAGGGUCUCUGAACGCCGAAUGCAAGCGGAACAGCCCACGAGAAGUGGCUCCUUGUGGGUUCGCUGGGGUUUUAGAAAGGGCUGCUUUCCUUUUUCUCUAGGGAGUUUGCUAGAGACCGAGCACCUGGGAGGGCGUCCUGGGGUCUCAGCUCUUGGGUGGCCUCGGUUGGUGAGGCGGUCCGGCCUUUGACAGCAGGAGGUAGGAGUGGGUCGCCGACAAGCAGGGAUGAGCAGAAGAGCAGCCGGGGUUGUAAACACGAGUGACGGGCAGGACGAGAGACCGCUCGAAAGCGCCUCCGUGCCACGCGCCUCGCCAGACGGCUGUCACAGUCCUGCAGAGGUAGAGGCUGGUGUCUGACUUGGUA